UACGUAGGGUGCGAGCGUUAAUCGGAAUUACUGGGCGUAAAGCGUGCGCAGGCGGUUUUGUAAGCCAGAUGUGAAAUCCCCGGGCUUAACCUGGGAAUUGCGUCCGAAACUAUGGAGCUGGAGUGUGGCAGAGGGAGGUGGAAUUCCACGUGUAGCGGUGAAAUGCGUAGAGAUGUGGAGGAACACCGAUGGCGAAGGCAGCCUCCUGGGCCAACACUGACGCUCAUGCACGAAAGCGUGGGGAGCAAACAGG
RNAcentral lists this ribosomal RNA (253 nucleotides) under uncultured bacterium. RNAcentral describes it as "partial 16S ribosomal RNA". It matches the Rfam family "Bacterial small subunit ribosomal RNA", at positions 524 to 776 of the family's 1533-position model. The record is from RNAcentral.